UUGGUGCAGCUCUAAAUUAGGCCAGUC
This 27-nucleotide non-coding RNA is filed under the name Homo sapiens (human). The record is from RNAcentral. Lineage: Eukaryota; Metazoa; Chordata; Mammalia; Primates; Hominidae.